CAUAACACAAACAGAAGGAAAAGGUGGAGCCAGAGCAAACAGAAAUGACAACCUUCCCCCAAGACCAAAGCCAGCAUGUGGCAAGAGCCAUUGCUUUCAAACAAGCUACCUCAGCAGGCCUGCUCUGAGCUCUGGAACUGGACAGCCUAUUGCUGAACCUGAAUGGCUUUGCAUGCAUUUGGAAUCAAGACCUGCACUUUACACUGGCAAAGGCUUCUGCAGGACCCUUCAGUUCAUCCAAAGUGGCUAUCUGAGGCACAGAGGCAGCACUCAGUAAUCUUCUCAUUGCUGUUUGAAGCACCUGCACAGGCAUUUCCACUCUCAC
Pogoniulus pusillus (Red-fronted tinkerbird) is the source of this 325-nucleotide long non-coding RNA. RefSeq lists it as uncharacterized. The transcript is spliced from 3 exons. The record is from RefSeq and is a predicted model, not a curated record. NCBI's taxonomy places the organism in Eukaryota, Metazoa, Chordata, Aves, Piciformes, Lybiidae.